This 801-nucleotide ribosomal RNA is filed under the name uncultured bacterium. RNAcentral describes it as "bacterial SSU rRNA". It matches the Rfam family "Bacterial small subunit ribosomal RNA", at positions 78 to 898 of the family's 1533-position model. The record is from RNAcentral.
CUAUAAUUGUCAGCUAAGUGGCGCACGGGUGAGUAAUGUAUAGAUAACCUGCCCUUAAGAAAGGAAUAACAGUUGGAAACGACUGCUAAUGCCCUAUAUGCCUUUAAUACAUAAGUAUGCAAGGGAAACGCUUUAGUGCUUAAGGAUGGGUCUGUAUGGUAUCAGCUUGUUGGUGAGGUAAUGGCUCACCAAGGCUAUGACGCCUAACUGGUUUGAGAGGAUGAUCAGUCACACUGGAACUGAGACACGGUCCAGACUCCUACGGGAGGCAGCAGUGGGGAAUAUUGCACAAUGGACGAAAGUCUGAUGCAGCAACGCCGCGUGGAGGAUGACACAUUUCGGUGCGUAAACUCCUUUUAUAUAGGAAGAUAAUGACGGUACUAUAUGAAUAAGCACCGGCUAACUCCGUGCCAGCAGCCGCGGUAAUACGGAGGGUGCAAGCGUUACUCGGAAUCACUGGGCGUAAAGAGCGUGUAGGCGGGUAUAUAAGUCAGAAGUGAAAUCCAAUAGCUCAACUAUUGAACUGCUUUUGAAACUGUAUACCUAGGAUGUGGGAGAGGUAGAUGGAAUUUCUGGUGUAGGGGUAAAAUCCGUAGAGAUCAGAAGGAAUACCGAUUGCGAAGGCGAUCUACUGGAACAUUAUUGACGCUGGGACGCGAAAGCGUGGGGAGCAAACAGGAUUAGAUACCCUGGUAGUCCACGCCCUAAACGAUGUACACUAGUUGUUGUGAGGCUCGACCUUGCAGUAAUGCAGUUAACACAUUAAGUGUACCGCCUGGGGAGUACGGUCGCAAGAUUAAA